Long non-coding RNA from Equus caballus (horse), 3913 nucleotides. RefSeq lists it as uncharacterized. NCBI's taxonomy places the organism in Eukaryota, Metazoa, Chordata, Mammalia, Perissodactyla, Equidae. The record is from RefSeq and is a predicted model, not a curated record.
UGUACAGCAUCCUGGAGGCAGCCCAGCUCUCUGGAUACCCUAGAUGUCCACAGGGGACAUAUGCCCUCCCUGACUUCGGCUGGGCCAGGGCUGGUGGGGGGAGGGGUGGCAGCUGACAGGCUCAGAGCUCUGAUCUGGUCAACCUGCCAGCUCCCCUUGUGAUGAGAGUAAAGAUGCUGAUAAGUCCCUGUUGCAGUUGUGGCUGACUCAGCCUAGGACAUUAAGGGCCAGCUGUUAGGUGAAGAAAGAGGGUGGAAGUGGAUCUUGGUGACCCUGGCCUGGCUACUUGGCGGGCUGUUGACGGGGGGUCUGCUUGCCCUGGCCUGGUCUGGAGAGGGAGGGUGGGGUCACUUCAGUGACAUGUGUUCUGACUGCUCUAUCCCUUGUCCUUGUUGCUGUGGGGGUACUUGCUCCAGGUGUGGGCAAACAAUGCUGCCACCUGCCCUGUCAGCACCCCCAUGCCAGGAGGGAGGCUUGGCUCCACCCGGGGUCCAGGGCUUCCUGGGAAAUCAAGUGCCUCUUCCCCCCAAGACUGAGCGAGGCUCAUUAGCUACAGGCUGAGGCCCUGCUGAUCUGGGUCCUAGGGACACAGCCCCAGCCGCAGGAACAAGGUAACAGUCUAGCCCAGCAGACUCCGUGUGGUGGCCCAGGACAGACGUGUGGCGUUGGGGAUCAGGGGUGUCUUCGUAUGUAUGGAGGAAGGGGGUCAGUGUGGAUAGAUGGGUGGGGCACAGCAGUGAGAAAUCCAGGCGGUGGGUUGUUGGUCACAAGAAGGCCUGUCCAACAGCAGGACCCCCAGGGCAAGGCUAGGCAAUAGCCCCAGAGGGACUCAAACAGCAGCAGGUUAUCCAGACAGGUACCCAGCUGAGGCCCCUCUUCCCAGACUAGGGUGGGGAGGGGGGAAAGUGAAUUCUAUGAACAAGGCAGGAGCCUAGGUCCUAAGCUGAACCUGAAAUGGUUAGAGACUGGAUUAGAAGGAAGAUGUCAUGAUGCCGAGUCCCAGGGAAUUGGCUUAAAGCUCCCCAUUCCCUCCACUUGCCACCAGGAUGGAUCCUAAGGUCCUAGAGGCUGGCACGCUGGUGGUGGUCAGGAGGCCAGGAUGGGCUGAGACUAGCCAGAAACUGAGACCCUGGCUAGGUCAGGCGUCACAGGCCGGAGGCCGAGCUGCAGGUGUCAAGCCCUGUUGUUACCUCGGGGGCACGGUUCUCCCUGCAUAUGCAGCGGUGGCUGAUUGGAAUAGAAACUCAGAAAGGUGACUCAGUUCUCUCCCUAGCGCUGCCCUGGGCUCACCACUCUGCAUGCUUAAAAAACAGCUGCAUUAAAAACAAGAUGUUCCCUCCCUCUUCCCCAUUCAUGCCUACUGAAACUUCAAAACCUAAUUCAAUUCUGCUUAGCAGCAAUACAAAACGGUUCAUAUCCUUAAGAUGCUUAAUUUAUAAGAUGCCUACAGUUAUUCACCAUUCGCCUCGAGGUUUUCUGCCCCUCUGAAUGAGUGGAUAAAGCAGUAACCCAUCAAUUCCCAUUUGUGGCUAAUGGGAAGCGGAAAUGGAUCGAGCCAGAAUCGGCAGUGCCUCAUGGCCUCGGCUCUCCUGACACUUGUUCUCCGGGAGGGAAGCAGAAAGUGGAGCUGACAGAUCUCUCUCUUGGCUGCUACACUGACAACAGAGGGCUUCAAAGGGACCCCUCAUGCUCCCGUGCCCACUCUUGGAGCAUUGGUUGUCCAGUUCUGUCAAGACUCUGCUGGUCCUCAGUUUUGGUUCAUGCCAGGCCACUUCCAGCCGAUUUCCAGCCAGGCGCCCUGCUGGCUGGCAAGGUCAAACGGGGCCUCAUCUCCUGCAGAUCGCGCAAAGCAGAGUUAAGCCAACAAAGAGAAAGAAAAGAAGUGAAGAAUGAAAACAGCAAUGCUGGGACCUGUUUUCCUGUCUCCUUGCUUAUCCUGGGAGCCAGGACCUUUCUAAAAGUCUCCUGAUCCUUCUGGAUGGAAAGGUGCUGAUUACGUGGGCUCCAGAGAGGACCUGGAGUAGGGCAGGGGUGGGAAGAGAACUAGGUCACCGAAACUCAGGGAGCUGCACUGAGCAGCAGGCAACGUGGCACACAGAUGGGUUGUACUGCCGUUGAUGGGGCUGGGGUCUCCAGAGUCCUCCAGGGGCUCCCGGGAAAAGGAGGGGCCGCUCCUCCUCCCCCCUUCCCAGGGGCUCCUUCCCCCUGAAUUUGCUUUUUUCUGGGAUUUCUCCCAACUCCCAAGCCUCAGAAUAGAUGGCUGUGAGAGUGAGGCUGCAUGAAGGGACCAGGGAUCUCAGAGAUAAAUUACUCCUCCCACUCCAUCCUCAGCCCUACUUGUUCGUUGGUGACAAUAUGGAUGUUUGUAAAGAGGCGGCCGAACCCAUUACCCUGCCUUGGGACUGCUGUUUUUCAUUCAAUGGAAGCGCAGGGCGGGAGAUACGGCCAAACUGUCUAUUACAGUGUCUGGUGCUUACCCCCAGAAUGAGGUUUUGGGUAAGAGAAAAGGAUGUUAUUUAUGACUGUGAGGCUGCCCGCAUAAAUUCCCCAAACUCUCACACAUAUGUCAGCCCCCUUCAGUCAUCUGUCUUCUGGAAAUGUCUUUUGAUUUUGCUUCUGUCCCUCUGGGUCCUCUGAGUGAUGACUGUGGGAGCUGCAAGUUAAUAAAUGCUCUCAGAAGACCCCACCCCGUCUCUACAGCCGGCCAUUACUUAAAGGGAUCAUCGUAAGGUCUUAGAGCCAUAAAGGAGUCUAAGGAUCCCGUUUUCCACCCUGCUCCUCUCACAGAUGAGGAAGGACGCCCGAAGAGGGCAGUGAUUUGGCCAAUGUCACAUAGCAAGUAGGUGGCCGUGCUGGUGGCAGUCAGCACUAGAGCCCAGAUCCUUGACUCCUGUUGCAGUGCUCUCCUUGCUGCCCACCAACGGGCUCCCUUAGCCACUGGGGAAGCAGACUCACCUUCAACAGUAUGUGGGGGUCAUGGUCUCUUGUAGUUUUCUCCCAUCCUGUUUCUGAUACUAGCAAACGUUACCCUUGCCCCGAACACAUUAAAAACUGAAGAAGUAUUUACCAGCUGAAUGAAUGCUAGGCUUUCCAGCCUGCCUCCCGUUACUCCUUCCCUGGCUGCUUCUUUCUGCCCCACUGAAUUCCUCACUGUCCCAAAUAUACCAGGAGGUUUCCUCCAAGCUGUAGUCAUCCCCUCCUCCUCCGCUGGCGUAGUUGGCUUAAACAGCUCUUCCUCUGAGAAGUCCUUUCCCACCAUCACCCCGUCCUCAUAGGGAGAAAUCCUCUUUUUCUUACCUUUCUCCCAUUGCCUUGCUGCUUACACCUGUUCCAGCACUUCCCAGGCUGUGCUCUAAUUAUUACGGCGUUUUCUGACCAGACUCUGAAUUCCAUGGGAGAGCAGCCAGCUCCCCCAGGGCCCUUCCUCAAGCAUGUCGCUCAAACCUAGUGAGUGUAAUGGGUGGAUGAAUCCGUGGCCUUCGCAAGACCUGAUUCCCCAGGAGCAUAUUUGGUAUCAUCGUUUUAAAGUUCUUUCUUCUGGUCAUACGUCUGCUUACAGAAGGAGACUUAUUGGAGGAGGUGGAAGGGAAAGGAGAAAGAGGAGAAGGAGGAAAUGUCCAUCUAUCUGUCUUACUUAAAAGGGAGAACAGGAAUGGGCUGAAGAUCCUGACUGGGUUCUAAUGGUUUCCCCGUGUGGUGAAGCAGCAAGAGCAUGGAUUUAUUUGACACGCUGCCUUGCGAGGACCCCCAAGCACUUUACAGCUACCAUUUUUUGACUUAGUUGGUUUCCCCCAAUGAGCCGCAAGUCCUGUGGAGAGAAUCUUCAACAUAGAACAUUCAAAUGGGAUAAAGAUGAAGAUAAUAAGAGAAUUAGGGGAGGCACAAGGGGAGAAUAAAAACCACUGGUUUCUUA